This 465-nucleotide ribosomal RNA is filed under the name uncultured bacterium. RNAcentral's name for it is "partial 16S ribosomal RNA". It matches the Rfam family "Bacterial small subunit ribosomal RNA", at positions 338 to 795 of the family's 1533-position model. The record is from RNAcentral.
CCUACGGGAGGCAGCAGUAGGGAAUUUUCGUCAAUGGGCGCAAGCCUGAACGAGCAAUGCCGCGUGAACGAGGAAGGUCUUCGGAUCGUAAAGUUCUGUUGAAGGGGAAAAAGAGCGGAGAGAGGAAAUGAACUCCGAUUGAUAUUACCCGUCGAGGAAGUCACGGCUAACUACGUGCCAGGAGCCGCGGUAAUACGUAGGUGGGGAGCGUUAUACGGAAUGAUGGGGCGUAAAGGGCGCGUAGGCGGCCGGCUAAGUCUGGAGUGAAAGGUACCGGCUCAACCGGUACAGGCUCUGGAAACUGGCGGGCUAGAGAGCAGGAGAGGGCGGUGGAACUCCAUGUGUAGCGGUAAAAUGCGUAGAUAUAUGGAAGAACACCAGUGGCGAAGGCGGCCGCCUGGCCUGUUGACUGACGCUGAGGCACGAAAGCGUGGGGAGCAAAUAGGAUUAGAUACCCCUGUAGUC